CCCAACUUGGAAAGCGUCUCACUCUCCCAACGCGCGCUACUUCUCCAGCGGGCGCAGGGCUCAGGGGCACAUGCCGCCCCCGCCCUUGUGCGCUUGCGGCUCCCAGCUAGCAGUCCCCUGCACCGAGCUUUCGCCUGGCUUUCCGCGGGAGCCUUCCAGCGGAUUCUUGGCUGGCAAGGACGGGGGAGCGAGGGAGAGGGAAGUUAGGGCUGCCGAUUUCUCUCCCCACUCCAGCGGCGGCGGCGUUCAGUCCUCUGGGUGGGAUGUACUCCCAGCAGCUGCGGCAGCGGCAGCAGCGGAGGUGCCCGAGCCAUGCACCCCGUAGCCGGGGACAAGGGAAUGGCCAGGAAAAAAAGACCGGGGUGAACCAGCCGGGUGAAGUCCCAGGGCCGCAGAGCUGCACGGGGAAUCUGUCCUGGAGAAGCCUUCUCCGCCUGCCUGGACACUUUAAGCAGUGGUGGCGGCAAACAGCGUGAGAUUGCAAACCGGACAGCGAGCCUCCCUGGUUCCGACGUUGCACUGACCUCUGGAGAUGACAAGUGAGCAAGAAGUGUCCGGCCGGGCCAUCCCCCUCAGUAUCCCAAAGUCUGGUUUCAAGACAGACCAAGAACCAGAUGUAUACAUUGGUGUGGAUAGGGAGAUCUCAAGAAGAAGCCCUCUAGUUCAAGCUGAAUGAGCAAGAAAGUCUACUGGCAGCAACAGUCAUGGCAGCCGGAAUCCACAAGCAUCUAAUGCACUAAGGAAGAGGAACUCUCUUCUCUGACCAGAGGAACUGUGGUCACAAGAAGGCGACAAGAACCCCUGUUGCUUUUUUUCCUCUGUGGCCCGUAGAUGAAAAUAGAUGGCCAUAGGGGGAAAUCUCUGAAAAGCUGGUACAAGUUUCGUUUUGGUCCUGAAGUUGGUUAUAGUUGCAGGAACUGUGUGACAGAGCAGGGUAAAUAAAAUCCCAGCUUUCCAGCACCAUGAAAGGGAGCCACAGGGAGCAGAUACUGAGAAAAGAGUGUAGAAGAGUGUAUAGAGGGAGGAGCUCGAGAAAGCAACAUCAUAAGCUUAUUUAUAAAUUCCUGGGCUCAUCCUGGAGUUGCACAUACAUGGAUCUGUUCCUUAAUAGCAAAUCAAAGACUUUGAUAACUGAACUGAGAGAUCCAGGUCCCAGACUGGCCAUUAGAUGUGGGACAAAUUUGCAUAGCUUGGCAAAUGUUUUGAAACAAGACUGCCACUGAAACCACAACUCAUAGAAAGCUGUCUGAAACUGAUGAAUCCAAUAAGUCACCUGGUUGCUAUACAAAAAUAUAGUGUCCAUAAGAUUUAAACAAGAAAUAUGUAUUUCUAUUUAAUAGCAAUAGCCAGUUAGAAUCAAAAUUUUUAAAGUAAUAUUUAUGAUAUCUCAAAAAGAAAUAUACAUUAAUUUAAUAAAACAGGUACUGGAUUUGUAUUCUGAAAACUAUAAAACACGAAUUAAAGAAAUCAAAGAAAACCUAAAUUAAUGGCAACAUGGCAACAUUCAAUGUUUUUUGGAUUGGAAGACACAAAAUAGUAAUGAUGUCAAUUUUCCUCAAAUCAAUCUACAGAUUCGAAGCAAGACUACAAUAAAAAAUCUCAGCAGAAUGUUUACUGGACAUGGACAAUCUAUAUUCUAAAAUUCAAUCAAGACUAUGAUAUU
This 1663-nucleotide long non-coding RNA is filed under the name Sus scrofa (pig). RNAcentral describes it as "lncRNA (ENSSSCG00035078287.1)". Lineage: Eukaryota; Metazoa; Chordata; Mammalia; Artiodactyla; Suidae. The record is from RNAcentral.